UCGAGAAUUUUUCUCAAUGGGGGAAACCCUGAAGGAGCGACGCCGCGUGGAGGAUGAAGGUCUUCGGAUUGUAAACUCCUGUCAUUGGUGAACAAGGCCAUCGGUUAACUGCCGUUUGGUUUGAUAGUAGCCGAAGAGGAAGAGACGGCUAACUCUGUGCCAGCAGCCGCGGUAAUACAGAGGUCUCAAGCGUUGUUCGGAUUCAUUGGGCGUAAAGGGUGCGUAGGUGGCGGGGCAAGUCUGGUGUGAAAUCCCGGGGCUCAACCCUGGAACUGCACUGGAUACUGCUUUGCUAGAGUACUGGAGAGGGAACUGGAAUUUACGGUGUAGCAGUGAAAUGCGUAGAUAUCGUAAGGAAGACCAGUGGCGAAGGCGAGUUCCUGGACAGUUACUGACACUGAGGCACGAAGGCCAGGGGAGCAAACGG
Molecule: ribosomal RNA, 427 nt
Filed under: uncultured bacterium
Lineage: Bacteria
Description: bacterial SSU rRNA
Rfam family: Bacterial small subunit ribosomal RNA
Source: RNAcentral